This is a small nuclear RNA of Dermacentor andersoni, 190 nucleotides long. RefSeq annotates it as U2 spliceosomal RNA. The record is from RefSeq and is a predicted model, not a curated record. Lineage: Eukaryota; Metazoa; Arthropoda; Arachnida; Ixodida; Ixodidae.
AACGUAGACAUGGCCGACUAGGGUCAAAGUGUAGUAUCUGUUGUUAUCAGUUUAUAUCUGAUAGGGGUUGUAUUGGGGACUUAUUGGAUACUAAACUUAUUUUUGCAAGUUGGCGGAGGACUUAAAGCCUGCUUCACCUUCGUCGCGGGUCUGCCCGGUAUUCGCUAUCUUCAGGAUCGGCCCACGUAUG